UGGCGGCAGGCUUAACACAUGCAAGUCGAGCGGACCUUUCGGGGUCAGCGGCGGACGGGUGAGUAACGCGUGGGAACGUGCCUUCUGGUUCGGAAUAACCCUGGGAAACUAGGGCUAAUACCGGAUACGCCCUUAUGGGGAAAGGUUUACUGCCGGAAGAUCGGCCCGCGUCUGAUUAGCUAGUUGGUGGGGUAACGGCCUACCAAGGCGACGAUCAGUAGCUGGUCUGAGAGGAUGAUCAGCCACACUGGGACUGAGACACGGCCCAGACUCCUACGGGAGGCAGCAGUGGGGAAUAUUGGACAAUGGGCGCAAGCCUGAUCCAGCCAUGCCGCGUGAGUGAUGAAGGCCUUAGGGUUGUAAAGCUCUUUUAUCCGGGACGAUAAUGACGGUACCGGAGGAAUAAGCCCCGGCUAACUUCGUGCCAGCAGCCGCGGUAAUACGAAGGGGGCUAGCGUUGCUCGGAAUCACUGGGCGUAAAGGGCGCGUAGGCGGCGUUUUAAGUCGGGGGUGAAAGCCUGUGGCUCAACCACAGAAUGGCCUUCGAUACUGGGACGCUUGAGUAUGGUAGAGGUUGGUGGAACUGCGAGUGUAGAGGUGAAAUUCGUAGAUAUUCGCAAGAACACCGGUGGCGAAGGCGGCCAACUGGACCAUUACUGACGCUGAGGCGCGAAAGCGUGGGGAGCAAACAGGAUU
This 696-nucleotide ribosomal RNA is filed under the name Methylobacterium sp. PB148. RNAcentral describes it as "bacterial SSU rRNA". It matches the Rfam family "Bacterial small subunit ribosomal RNA", at positions 37 to 779 of the family's 1533-position model. The record is from RNAcentral. Lineage: Bacteria; Pseudomonadati; Pseudomonadota; Alphaproteobacteria; Hyphomicrobiales; Methylobacteriaceae.